RNAcentral lists this ribosomal RNA (292 nucleotides) under uncultured bacterium. RNAcentral's name for it is "partial 16S ribosomal RNA". It matches the Rfam family "Bacterial small subunit ribosomal RNA", at positions 505 to 796 of the family's 1533-position model. The record is from RNAcentral.
GUGCCAGCCGCCGCGGUAAAACGUAGGAGACAAACGUUAUCCGGAGUUACUGGGCGUAAAGGGCGUGCAGGCGGCUGUUUAAGUUCGGCGUGAAAGGCUUCGGCUCAACCGGGGUAGGUCGUCGGAUACUGGACAGCUUGAGGGUGAUAGAGGCGGGUGGAAUUCCGGGUGUAGUGGUGAAAUGCGUAGAGAUCCGGAGGAACACCAGUGGCGAAGGCGACCCGCUGGAUCACACCUGACGCUGAGACGCGACAGCAUGGGGAGCGAACGGGAUUAGAAACCCGCGUAGUCC